UGGGGAAUAUUGGACAAUGGGCGAAAGCCUGAUCCAGCCAUGCCGCGUGUGUGAAGAAGAUCUUCGGUUUGUAAAGCACUUUAAGUUGGGAGGAAGGGCAGUAAGCGAAUACCUUGCUGUUUUGACGUUACCGACAGAAUAAGCACCGGCUAACUCUGUUCCAGCAGCCGCGGUAAUACAGAGGGUGCAAGCGUUAAUCGGAAUUACUGGGCGUAAAGCGCGCGUAGGUGGUUCGUUAAGUUGAAUGUGAAAGCCCCGUGCUCAACCUGGGAACUGCAUCCAAAACUGGUGAGCUGGAGUAGGGCAGAGGGUGGUGGAAUUUCCUGUGUAGCGGUUAAAUGCGUAGAUAUAGGAAGGAACAACAGUGGCGAAGGCGACCGCCUGGGCUCAUACUGACACUGAGGUGCGAAAGCGUGGGGAGCAAACAGG
Molecule: ribosomal RNA, 429 nt
Filed under: Pseudomonadota bacterium
Lineage: Bacteria; Pseudomonadati; Pseudomonadota
Description: Proteobacteria bacterium partial 16S ribosomal RNA
Rfam family: Bacterial small subunit ribosomal RNA
Source: RNAcentral